Molecule: ribosomal RNA, 491 nt
Filed under: uncultured bacterium
Lineage: Bacteria
Description: partial 16S ribosomal RNA
Rfam family: Bacterial small subunit ribosomal RNA
Source: RNAcentral
AGUGAACGCUGGCGGUAGGCCUAACACAUGCAAGUCGAACGGCAGCACAGUAAGAGCUUGCUCUUACGGGUGGCGAGUGGCGGACGGGUGAGGAAUACAUCGGAAUCUACUUUUUCGUGGGGGAUAACGUAGGGAAACUUACGCUAAUACCGCAUACGACCUACGGGUGAAAGCAGGGGAUCUUCGGACCUUGCGCGAUUGAAUGAGCCGAUGUCGGAUUAGCUAGUUGGCGGGGUAAAGGCCCACCAAGGCGACGAUCCGUAGCUGGUCUGAGAGGAUGCUCAGCCACACUGGAACUGAGACACGGUCCAGACUCCUACGGGAGGCAGCAGUGGGGAAUAUUGGACAAUGGGCGCAAGCCUGAUCCAGCCAUACCGCGUGGGUGAAGAAGGCCUUCGGGUUGUAAAGCCCUUUUGUUGGGAAAGAAAAGCAGCAGGUUAAUACCCCGCUGUUCUGACGGUACCCAAAGAAUAAGCACCGGCUAACUUCGU